Molecule: ribosomal RNA, 599 nt
Filed under: uncultured bacterium
Lineage: Bacteria
Description: bacterial SSU rRNA
Rfam family: Bacterial small subunit ribosomal RNA
Source: RNAcentral
CCUACGGGAGGCAGCAGUGGGGAAUAUUGGGCAAUGGAGGAAACUCUGACCCAGCGACGCCGCGUGCGGGAUGAAGGCCUUCGGGUUGUAAACCGCUUUCAGCAGGGAAGAAGCGAAAGUGACGGUACCUGCAGAAGAAGCACCGGCUAACUAUGUGCCAGCAGCCGCGGUAAUACAUAGGGUGCAAGCGUUGUCCGGAAUUAUUGGGCGUAAAGAGCUCGUAGGUGGUUCGUCACGUCGGAUGUGAAAAUCUGGGGCUUAACCCCAGACCUGCAUUCGAUACGGGCGAGCUUGAGUAUGGUAGGGGAGUCUGGAAUUCCUGGUGUAGCGGUGGAAUGCGCAGAUAUCAGGAGGAACACCAAUGGCGAGGGCAGGACUCUGGGCCAUUACUGACACUGAGGAGCGAAAGCGUGGGGAGCGAACAGGAUUAGAUACCCUGGUAGUCCACGCCGUAAACGGUGGGCACUAGUUGUGGGGACCUUCCACGGUCUCUGCGACGCAGCUAACGCAUUAAGUGCCCCGCCUGGGGAGUACGAUCGCAAGAUUAAAACUUAAAGAGUAGUAGACGNGAGACGUGCGACGACGACACAGGGAGGAGG